GAUCAUGGCUCAGGAUGAACGCUAGCGGCAGGCUAACACAUGCAAGUCGAGGGGCAACGCGAGUAGCAAUACUUGGCGGCGACCGGCGCAAGGGUGCGUAACGCGUGAGCAACAUGCCCGUAUCAGGGGGAUAAUCCAGGGAAACUUGGUCUAAUACCCCAUAGUAAUUUUGUAAGGCAUCUUAUAAGAUUUAAAGCUUUGGUGGAUACGGAUUGGCUCGCGUGACAUUAGCUGGAUGGUAAGGUAACGGCUUACCAUGGCUAUGAUGUCUAGGGGUUCUGAGAGGAAGGUCCCCCACACUGGAACUGAGACACGGUCCAGACUCCUACGGGAGGCAGCAGUGAGGAAUAUUGGACAAUGGAUGGAAAUCUGAUCCAGCCAUGCCGCGUGAAGGAAGAAGGUCCUAUGGAUUGUAAACUUCUUUUGUAUGGGAGCAAUAAGGCCUACGAGUAGGUUGAUGAGAGUACCAUACGAAUAAGCACCGGCUAACUCCGUGCCAGCCGCCGC
Molecule: ribosomal RNA, 507 nt
Filed under: uncultured bacterium
Lineage: Bacteria
Description: bacterial SSU rRNA
Rfam family: Bacterial small subunit ribosomal RNA
Source: RNAcentral